Molecule: ribosomal RNA, 474 nt
Filed under: uncultured bacterium
Lineage: Bacteria
Description: SSU rRNA
Rfam family: Bacterial small subunit ribosomal RNA
Source: RNAcentral
AGGACGAACGCUGGCGGCGUGCUUAACACAUGCAAGUCGAGCGGAAAGGCCCUUCGGGGUACUCGAGCGGCGAACGGGUGAGUAACACGUGAGCAACCUGCCCUUAGCUCUGGGAUAGCUCCGGGAAACCGGAAUUAAUACCGGAUACGACCUAGGCCGACAUCGGCCGUGGUGGAAAGUUUUUCGGCUAGGGAUGGACUCGCGGCCUAUCAGCUAGUUGGUGGGGUAAAGGCCUACCAAGGCGACGACGGGUAGCCGGCCUGAGAGGGCGACCGGCCACACUGGGACUGAGACACGGCCCAGACUCCUACGGGAGGCAGCAGUGGGGAAUCUUGCGCAAUGGGCGAAAGCCUGACGCAGCGACGCCGCGUGGGGAUGAAGGCCUUCGGGUUGUAAACCCCUUCUAGCAGGACGAAGCGAAAGUGACGGUACCUGCAGAAGAAGACGCCGGCGUAACUACGUGCCAGCAGCCGC